Molecule: ribosomal RNA, 2903 nt
Filed under: Enterobacter cloacae
Lineage: Bacteria; Pseudomonadati; Pseudomonadota; Gammaproteobacteria; Enterobacterales; Enterobacteriaceae
Also listed under: 1 other name
Description: bacterial LSU rRNA
Rfam family: Bacterial large subunit ribosomal RNA
Source: RNAcentral
UUAAGCGACUAAGCGUACACGGUGGAUGCCCUGGCAGUCAGAGGCGAUGAAGGACGUGCUAAUCUGCGAAAAGCGACGGCGAGGUGAUAUGAACCCUUGACCCGUCGAUGUCCGAAUGGGGAAACCCAGUGUGUUUCGACACACUAUCGUUAACUGAAUACAUAGGUUAACGAGGCGAACCGGGGGAACUGAAACAUCUAAGUACCCCGAGGAAAAGAAAUCAACCGAGAUUCCCCCAGUAGCGGCGAGCGAACGGGGAGCAGCCCGGAGUCUGAAUCAGCUUGUGUGUUAGUGGAACGGUCUGGAAAGUCCGACGGUACAGGGUGAUAGUCCCGUACACGAAAAUGCACAUGCUGUGAACUCGAAGAGUAGGGCGGGACACGUGGUAUCCUGUCUGAAUAUGGGGGGACCAUCCUCCAAGGCUAAAUACUCCUGACUGACCGAUAGUGAACCAGUACCGUGAGGGAAAGGCGAAAAGAACCCCGGCGAGGGGAGUGAAAAAGAACCUGAAACCGUGUACGUACAAGCAGUGGGAGCACCUUCAUGGGGUGACUGCGUACCUUUUGUAUAAUGGGUCAGCGACUUAUAUUCUGUAGCAAGGUUAACCGUAUAGGGGAGCCGAAGGGAAACCGAGUCUUAACUGGGCGUUAAGUUGCAGGGUAUAGACCCGAAACCCGGUGAUCUAGCCAUGGGCAGGUUGAAGGUUGGGUAACACUAACUGGAGGACCGAACCGACUAAUGUUGAAAAAUUAGCGGAUGACCUGUGGCUGGGGGUGAAAGGCCAAUCAAACCGGGAGAUAGCUGGUUCUCCCCGAAAGCUAUUUAGGUAGCGCCUCGUGAACUCAUCUUCGGGGGUAGAGCACUGUUUCGGCUAGGGGGCCAUCCCGGCUUACCAACCCGAUGCAAACUACGAAUACCGAAGAAUGUUAUCACGGGAGACACACGGCGGGUGCUAACGUCCGUCGUGAAGAGGGAAACAACCCAGACCGCCAGCUAAGGUCCCAAAGUCAUGGUUAAGUGGGAAACGAUGUGGGAAGGCACAGACAGCCAGGAUGUUGGCUUAGAAGCAGCCAUCAUUUAAAGAAAGCGUAAUAGCUCACUGGUCGAGUCGGCCUGCGCGGAAGAUGUAACGGGGCUAAACCAUGCACCGAAGCUGCGGCAGCGACACUAUGUGUUGUUGGGUAGGGGAGCGUUCUGUAAGCCGUUGAAGGUGUGCUGUGAGGCAUGCUGGAGGUAUCAGAAGUGCGAAUGCUGACAUAAGUAACGAUAAAGCGGGUGAAAAGCCCGCUCGCCGGAAGACCAAGGGUUCCUGUCCAACGUUAAUCGGGGCAGGGUGAGUCGACCCCUAAGGCGAGGCCGAAAGGCGUAGUCGAUGGGAAACAGGUUAAUAUUCCUGUACUUGGUGUUACUGCGAAGGGGGGACGGAGAAGGCUAUGUCAGCCGGGCGACGGUUGUCCCGGUUUAAGCAUGUAGGCGGAGGUUCCAGGUAAAUCCGGUACCUUGUUAACGCUGAGGUGUGAUGACGAGGCACUACGGUGCUGAAGUGAUAAAUGCCCUGCUUCCAGGAAAAGCCUCUAAGCAUCAGGUAACACGAAAUCGUACCCCAAACCGACACAGGUGGUCAGGUAGAGAAUACCAAGGCGCUUGAGAGAACUCGGGUGAAGGAACUAGGCAAAAUGGUGCCGUAACUUCGGGAGAAGGCACGCUGAUAUGUAGGUGAAGCCCCUGCGGGCGGAGCUGAAAUCAGUCGAAGAUACCAGCUGGCUGCAACUGUUUAUUAAAAACACAGCACUGUGCAAACACGAAAGUGGACGUAUACGGUGUGACGCCUGCCCGGUGCCGGAAGGUUAAUUGAUGGGGUUAGCGGCAACGCGAAGCUCUUGAUCGAAGCCCCGGUAAACGGCGGCCGUAACUAUAACGGUCCUAAGGUAGCGAAAUUCCUUGUCGGGUAAGUUCCGACCUGCACGAAUGGCGUAAUGAUGGCCAGGCUGUCUCCACCCGAGACUCAGUGAAAUUGAACUCGCUGUGAAGAUGCAGUGUACCCGCGGCAAGACGGAAAGACCCCGUGAACCUUUACUAUAGCUUGACACUGAACACUGGUCCUUGAUGUGUAGGAUAGGUGGGAGGCUUUGAAGCGUGGACGCCAGUCUGCGUGGAGCCGCCCUUGAAAUACCACCCUUUAAUGGCUGGUGUUCUAACGUAGACCCGUGAUCCGGGUUGCGGACAGUGUCUGGUGGGUAGUUUGACUGGGGCGGUCUCCUCCCAAAGAGUAACGGAGGAGCACGAAGGUUGGCUAAUCCUGGUCGGACAUCAGGAGGUUAGUGCAAUGGCAUAAGCCAGCUUGACUGCGAGCGUGACGGCGCGAGCAGGUGCGAAAGCAGGUCAUAGUGAUCCGGUGGUUCUGAAUGGAAGGGCCAUCGCUCAACGGAUAAAAGGUACUCCGGGGAUAACAGGCUGAUACCGCCCAAGAGUUCAUAUCGACGGCGGUGUUUGGCACCUCGAUGUCGGCUCAUCACAUCCUGGGGCUGAAGUAGGUCCCAAGGGUAUGGCUGUUCGCCAUUUAAAGUGGUACGCGAGCUGGGUUUAGAACGUCGUGAGACAGUUCGGUCCCUAUCUGCCGUGGGCGCUGGAGAAUUGAGGGGGGCUGCUCCUAGUACGAGAGGACCGGAGUGGACGCAUCACUGGUGUUCGGGUUGUCAUGCCAAUGGCACUGCCCGGUAGCUAAAUGCGGAAGAGAUAAGUGCUGAAAGCAUCUAAGCACGAAACUUGCCCCGAGAUGAGUUCUCCCUGAGACCUUGAGUCUCCUGAAGGAACGUUGAAGACGACGACGUUGAUAGGUCGGGUGUGUAAGCGCAGCGAUGCGUUGAGCUAACCGAUACUAAUGAACCGUGAGGCUUAACCUU